RNAcentral lists this ribosomal RNA (468 nucleotides) under uncultured bacterium. RNAcentral describes it as "partial 16S ribosomal RNA". It matches the Rfam family "Bacterial small subunit ribosomal RNA", at positions 28 to 507 of the family's 1533-position model. The record is from RNAcentral.
GACGAACGCUGGCGGCGUGCUUAACACAUGCAAGUCGAACGGAAAGGCCCUGCUUUUGUGGGGUGCUCGAGUGGCGAACGGGUGAGUAACACGUGAGUAACCUGCCCUUGACUUUGGGAUAACUUCAGGAAACUGGGGCUAAUACCGGCUAGGAGCUCCUGCUGCAUGGUGGGGGUUGGAAAGUUUCGGCGGUUGGGGAUGGACUCGCGGCUUAUCAGCUUGUUGGUGGGGUAGUGGCUUACCAAGGCUUUGACGGGUAGCCGGCCUGGGAGGGUGACCGGCCACAUUGGGCCUGAGAUACGGCCCGGACUCCUACGGGAGGCAGCAGUGGGGAGUAGUGCACAAUGGGCGGAAGCCUGAUGCAGCAACGCCGCGUGCGGGAUGACGGCCUUCGGGUUGUAAACCGCUUUCGCCUGUGACGAAGCGUGAGUGACGGUAAUGGGUAAAGAAGCACCGGCUAACUACGUG